This 1379-nucleotide long non-coding RNA is filed under the name Gossypium barbadense (sea-island cotton). RNAcentral describes it as "long non-coding RNA (GBAR_LNC015402)". The record is from RNAcentral. Lineage: Eukaryota; Viridiplantae; Streptophyta; Magnoliopsida; Malvales; Malvaceae.
UUUGGCACUCUCUCCACGGAAUAGCGAUUCAGCAUGAAAAAUUUGGUCUGAGUUUCAACUUUACCCUUCUCAUUUCUUUCUCACGUCUAAAGCAUCUUCUUCUUUUUUUCAUUCUUCUUCCUAUUUCUUUCCAACCUUCUCCCUAUUUUUCAUGCUUCUAUCUUGACCAACCCUUUGACAAACCCUAACAACCUUCAACAAGGCCUUCAAUUACGAAUCGUAUGAGGUGGAAACUUGAGAAGAGAAACAAUCGAAUUGGUUCGAUGUGAGUAGUCGUCCCUAAGGUAACUCUACUCCCAUUUUGAUUUCCUUUUUUUCUAAUUUUUUUGUUAAAUUAGUAGAAAUAAUAGGUGUCUUUUCAGUUCUGGGUAUUUUGAUUUCCACUUUUUUUUCUCAAAAUCUGAGCAAAACCCAGAUGUUAAAAAGUGGUAAUUUGUUCUGGGUAUUUGUUGUUUUUUAAGUUUUUUUUGUACAUGCAUUUCCCCUGUAAGCAGUUUCUCUUUACUAUCAGAUGGUUCAUCUUCAAGCUUGUUUUCACACAAUGGGCAGUCUUUAUCUGACCAUGGAUCACCACCACCACCAUUAGAGGACUUUAAGCCACACUUGUUUGGUGAACUUGAUCUUUGUAGAAACUUUAGUGAACUGUAUAUUAGCAAUGAUCAAGAGAAUUUGGAUUCUAGUUUUAGAGAUUUCUCCCUUGAAUCCAAUGGGAUUCAACGUUUUGACCAAUUCAAUGUUGAGAAACAUGGUGUUUGUGAUACAUUGAGGAAAGGGUUUUCUGAAUUUAUGCCUUUGAGUUUCAAUGGUAGGAUGAAUAUGGCAUUUUCUGGUUUGCCCCAUAAUUUAUUAGGUCCUCAAAUGUAUGCUUAUGAAUGUGUGUUACUUCAUUAAACGUUUGUAGCAUUUUAUGGAAUGAUAUUUGGUAGUGCGAUCUCACUAGGUAUUUCUUUUCCCAACUCUCACAUUCCUGCAAUAGAACCGCCUUUUUCUUUAAUGCUGUCAUUAUUAUUAUUAUUAAAAUGGCUUAGGUGCUUUAAAUUAUGUAAAAUAAAAUGGCAAUAAAACAGGUGGGAUAGGCAUUGCUAAGAUGAUCAAACAGAUUGAAAGAAAGGAGUAUAUGAGACUUGAUGAUAUUUGCUCCUAUCAGCCAUAGCUUGAAUUGGAAGAGUAGUGAAAGUUUAACUACAAAAGUCCCCUGUACAACAAGACAUAUUACAAUUAUAGAUGCACUACGUGUUACAAGGCCAAGCCUCCAUUACCAAAAUAAGAGAAUCAGAUUUCAUUAAAUUAUGAUAAUGUAUGAUCCAUUUUUUAGCAAGAAGCAAAAUGUGUUGUCAAAUAUUCAAAAUUUUUUUUAGAACAAUGAUUUUUAUGGUACG